This is a long non-coding RNA of Mesocricetus auratus (golden hamster), 822 nucleotides long. RefSeq lists it as uncharacterized. Lineage: Eukaryota; Metazoa; Chordata; Mammalia; Rodentia; Cricetidae. The record is from RefSeq and is a predicted model, not a curated record. The transcript is spliced from 4 exons.
GUGGUCAGAGCCCUGGGGUUCCAUGGGGAAGAGCAAGCAAUGCUUGAGCUCACACACACAGUGUCCCUCUGGGAGCUUCUGAGCAAAGGCCUGCUUGAGUGGAGGGACAAGGACUACCCGAGUGGAGGGACACACGCUUGAUUGGAAGAGCCACAUACAGCCAGGUGAGGAACAGCGCCGACUGGAGUUUCCUGUGGGCUGACAUCUUUACAUCUGGAGGCAGCAUGCUCUCACUGGCGCAGAGGAGGUCACAACUGAUGUGCUCACAUGAAAACAAACAAACAAACAAACAAAAUCCCAGAUGUUCAGCUCCUGCCCAGUGGCGGAUGGUGAAGAUGGCUGUAGGUCAUCUACCAUGGUGAAGUGAUGUGUGGAGCAUGCAAUAUCAGAAGGGGAGUCGGGCCAAGGACCAUGGAGGCAUACCUUAAACAAGCAAAUCUGCAGAUUUACUUGUCAAGUUGAAAAGUCUGGUGUGGAGGGGACCAGCUAGAGCAAACAGAGAAGCCGGGCCUCAGCCAGUACUAACUACGCUGCAGAGCUGGACUUCGGCCCCUGCUUCUGCAAGGUGCUUCCUGUCUCAUUGAUGGGCAACCAAGAGGAAGGUCAUUGGCUUUCCAAAGAGCCUGCAGCUGGAGGGAAAGUCAGUUCAGACCAGAAGAGGCUUUGGAUCCCUUGGAACUGGAGUUACAGAGAUGGUCGUGAGCACCCAAGGGAUGCUGGAAAGUGAGCCCGGCUCCUCUGGGCAAGCAACCAGUGUUCUUAACUGCUAAGCCAUUUCUCCAACCCCCAAAAAUGCUUAUUUUUAAAUAAAUUUUAAUAGUA